Long non-coding RNA from Lycium ferocissimum, 1970 nucleotides. RefSeq lists it as uncharacterized. NCBI's taxonomy places the organism in Eukaryota, Viridiplantae, Streptophyta, Magnoliopsida, Solanales, Solanaceae. The transcript has 6 exons. The record is from RefSeq and is a predicted model, not a curated record.
GGGAGAAUACAGAUAUAUUGCGGGAGCAAUUUAUCAACUAUUAUCAUUUAGCUUGGAAUAGAAGCAUACAUUUCAUCUUUAUUGAUCCUAACUUAUUAAAUUAACCAUGCGUCUUUUGAAUAAAUUUUAAGUCUAUUUAUCCUCUCUUCGAUAAUUUCUUGCAGAUCCUCAGAAACACAUAGUCAGUUGUCCUCGUGGAUCCUAGUCUUCAGCAGCCAAUAGGGGCAUGCCAGCUGUAUGACUGCUGGAGCUUUUGUGGCUUGAGUUCUUGGAGCUGCUCAGACUAUCAGCUCGUUUGGCUACAUUUUUCCUAGUUGCCAAGGAGCUGACUAAUGGCAUCAUCUGAGUUGAAGAAAUAUCCAUAAACGAAGAUAUUGCAGCGCGUAGAGCUCAAGAGAUUAAGGAACAACAAUGAGCUGAUAGAAAUUUGAGCGCCGCACCAGAUAUGCACAAAUGUCACCUGGUAGAAAACAAUCUUUUUUGUUGCAACUGCAAGCUAAAAGAUCCAAAUAAAAGGGCAGCAACUUAGUUAUCAUUCGAGUAAUACAUUAUCCUCAACGGAAGUUGCUACUCAACCUCAAAGACAAACUGUUGUCAUAAUUGUUGAUCCUCCGGUAACUUCUGAAGAAGGAUCAACAUCAGCUAGAUGAAAUGCAACGAAUUUUCUAACUCCAACAGCUACUGCAGAUAGUGGUUGAUGCUUUUGUGAAGAUUUUUUACGGGUUGCACAUAGCUGGUCUAUGAGGUACAAAAUCAAGGAUGAAGUUACUAUAAGACCUGCUUGCAAGAAUUGGGCUGCCUAGGGUCCCAUAUCCUGGGAGUGAAAGUUCUAAUUGAUAAAAGCUUUGAGAAGAUUCACUGUAGCAAAGGCAGAACGAGUAUUGUACCUCUAUUUUUCCCGGCUGGUGAGGAAGUCAAAACCAUGAGAAUUGUUAAAGCUGGAUUACGCCUCCAUUCUAAUGCUUGUACUCCAGAUUUGGAUGGGAGUUUACUAUCUGCCUCUAUCCCUUUGGUGAAGGAAUUAUAAAAUCAUCUCAACGAUUACCUUGAUAUUGAAGCUUGAUUCUACACCAAAUACACAUAAGGGUUUUUGGAGUUCAGUGGAAUAAACGGGCGAAGACUAGAAACUGCUUGCACUACUGAUAUGUUAGUACUUCAAUUGAGAGGUAAGGAAUGAACUCUGACGCCCAUCUUAAUUUAUUCUCUUGGUUGUUGAAACUCUUGGUCUAAUUUUCUAUACCUCAAUAGUCUUUUUGGCUUCCGUAAGUUUAUUUUCAUCUGGUGAUCAACAGCCAAUAUGCAAUUGACCUCUCAUUCCUACUUGACAUGUACACCUUUUCUUCUACUUGAUUUUCACAAAGCUGAUUAUACUCAAUUAUUCUAUAUUGUGUUCUUCUCCUCUCUUGCUUCCCUGCUUUCCACAGAUUCUUUUAUGUAUUAUCCCUGCUUUAUGUAGAUUACAUUCAGAUGUUUUGCUUUUGAUAUAUAACAACUACAAUGUACUUCUUGAUUUUCUUUCCUCUGAUCAUUAUAACGAUGUUUGUGCUUCUUAUUUAUCCUUGUGCUUUUUAUGCUUUUUCUCCUUGCCUUUCAUCUCACUUCUAGAUUUUCCAGAUAUAAUAUGGUUGCCUAUGUGAGAUUAUCAAGCACCAUGAAAGACUUAUUGAUUAGCAGGUAUAUUGCAACAGGCAAAGUAGUUGUCGUUUCAGCACAAAAUUUGAGGAAGCCCAGUUCAAAAGUUCCAACAACAACAACAACAACAUAACCAGUAUAAUCCGACAAAGUGGGGUCUGGGGAGGGUAGAUUGUACGCAGACCUUACCCCUACCUUGGGAGUUAAAGAGGUUGUUUCCGAUAGACCCUCGGCUCAAGAAAAACAAUUCAAAGCAGUCAACAAAGGACCAAUUCAAAAGUUCCAACUUCAUAAAUCCAUCAGGAGACAAAUCCUCGCUGGAGCCGUUUCAUGUAGCU